RNAcentral lists this long non-coding RNA (925 nucleotides) under Heterocephalus glaber (naked mole-rat). RNAcentral's name for it is "lncRNA (ENSHGLG00100036169.1)". The record is from RNAcentral. Lineage: Eukaryota; Metazoa; Chordata; Mammalia; Rodentia; Bathyergidae.
CUGGGCCUUGCUGUUUUGCUGACUGACACCUCAGCUUUACCUGGAGGGAGCUGCCUUUCCUCCAGGCUCUCCUGGUGCCGAAAGCAGCAUCACUAAUGGGGAACCAUUUGGAAGUGGCGCUUUCUGCUGACAGACGAUGUAUGCCAGCCGUCACAGUCACAUUCGUGUAGUCCCACAGGAUAUGCUGAGCAGCUGAAAAUGCCAGGCAACAGCCAUAUGAUCCCUGCUUCUGCAAAGGGUUGCUUCACCAUCCUUGGGGUUCCCUGACACUUCUGCUUGUUUCCAGUUUUUCCUUGUGUCCAGUUCCUCCUUGCUUCCAGUAACCUGCUUUAGCCUACUCCGUCUCCUCUGCUGAGUCCCUGCACCAUCCUCUGACAGGCAUCUCAAGCCUGAGAACAGUGGAAAGCACAUCUGUGGCUCUGGACCAGCCAGCAUUAGGAAGAUGGCUCUGCAAACAGCUGGAAAGAGCUGGAAUUGGUCUGACACGCGGCUGCAGGGAGAGCCAGGGAUGGGAGCCCAAGCUCACGUGCAGCCCAAGCAGUCACGUCUGAAGAAAGCAACUCUGAUGGAAACGCGAUCACCAGGGCUUACAGGAGGCCUCUCUACUCUGUCGCUUCUUGUUGCCAGGAGUUGCAAAAUGCUUAAUGUCUCUGAGGAGUGGAACAGCUGCACAAUGAAUGCUGUGUACCCAUUUCCUAUGUCUGUCCUUCUGUCCAGGGUUCCAUCCAGGACACUACUCCACGUGUCACUAUGUCUCUCUGAGUUCCUCUCAUCUGGGCCAGUUUCUCAGUCUUGUGUUGCUUUUCAGUCCUAAAGAGCCUGGGCCUAGGACCCUGGAGAAUGGCAGCAGUCUUGGUUUGUCUGGCAUUUUUCUCACGAGUAGUCUGGGACCAGGUUUUGGAUUAGAUGAGUGUCCUUGUUACAG